RNAcentral lists this ribosomal RNA (701 nucleotides) under uncultured bacterium. RNAcentral describes it as "bacterial SSU rRNA". It matches the Rfam family "Bacterial small subunit ribosomal RNA", at positions 71 to 768 of the family's 1533-position model. The record is from RNAcentral.
AUUUCUAGCUUGCUAGAAGAUGGCGACCGGCGGACGGGUGCGUAACGCGUAUGCAACUUACCUACAUCUUAGGGAUAACGUAAAGAAAUUUUCGCUAAUACCUUAUAGUAUCAUUGAUUCGCAUGUUUCGAUGAUUAAAGAAUUUCGGAUGUAGAUAGGCAUGCGUCCUAUUAGUUUGUUGGUGAGGUAACGGCUCACCAAGACUACGAUAGGUAGGGGGCCUGAGAGGGUGAUCCCCCACACUGGUACUGAGACACGGACCAGACUCCUACGGGAGGCAGCAGUGAGGAAUAUUGGUCAAUGGAGGCAACUCUGAACCAGCCAUCCCGCGUGAAGGAUUGAAGGCGCUCGACGUCGUAAACUUCUUUUAUAUAGGAAUAAACCUUGGUACGUGUACCAAGCUGAAGGUACUAUAUGAAUAAGCAUCGGCUAACUCCGUGCCAGCAGCCGCGGUAAUACGGAGGAUGCGAGCGUUAUCCGGAUUUAUUGGGUUUAAAGGGUCCGCAGGCGGACCAAUCAGUCAGUGGUGAAAUCCAAUCGCUUAACGAUUGAACUGCCAUUGAUACUGUUGGUCUUGAGUCUAGUUGACGUAGGCGGAAUGUGACAUGUAGCGGUGAAAUGCAUAGAUAUGUCACAGAACACCAAUUGCGAAGGCAGCUUACGAAACUACGACUGACGCUCACGGACGAAAGCGUGGGUAA